Molecule: ribosomal RNA, 460 nt
Filed under: uncultured bacterium
Lineage: Bacteria
Description: partial 16S ribosomal RNA
Rfam family: Bacterial small subunit ribosomal RNA
Source: RNAcentral
CCUACGGGUGGCAGCAGUGAGGAAUAUUGGUCAAUGGACGAGAGUCUGAACCAGCCAAGUAGCGUGAAGGAUGACUGCCCUAUGUGUUGUAAACUUCUUUUAUCAAGGAAUAAAACGAGGCACGUGUGCCUUUUUGCAUGUACUUUAUGAAUAAGGAUCGGCUAACUCCGUGCCAGCAGCCGCGGUAAUACGGAGGAUCCGAGCGUUAUCCGGAUUUAUUGGGUUUAAAGGGAGCGGAGAUGGGUUGUUAAGUCAGUUGUGAAAGUUUGGGGCUCAACCGUAAGAUUGCAGUUGAGACUGGCAGUCUUGAGUACAGUUGAGGUAGGCGGAAUGCGUGGUGUAGCGGUGAAAUGCUUAGAUAUCGCGAAGAACCCCGAUUGCGAAGGCAGCUUACUAGACUCUCACUGACAUUGAUGCUCGAAAGUGUGGGUAUCAAACAGGAUUAGAUACCCCUGUAGUC